UCCCAACAGUCCAAGUCGCAGCCACAAUUAUUGGGUCUAAAACAUCCGUAGCUUGCUUUGCAAGUCUCUUGUGAAAUCGGGCUUCUUAAGAGUCCGGCGCGCAAGAGAUACUGCUUUGCUAGAGACCGGGGGACGUAAUGGGUAUGGUACGGGUAGCGGUAAAAUGCGUUGAUCCAUACUAGACCAACAAUAGCGAAGGCACGUUACGACAACGGAUCUGACAGUGAGGGAUGAAGGCUAGGGGC
RNAcentral lists this ribosomal RNA (245 nucleotides) under uncultured archaeon. RNAcentral's name for it is "partial 16S ribosomal RNA". It matches the Rfam family "Archaeal small subunit ribosomal RNA", at positions 474 to 718 of the family's 1478-position model. The record is from RNAcentral.